Molecule: ribosomal RNA, 496 nt
Filed under: uncultured bacterium
Lineage: Bacteria
Description: partial 16S ribosomal RNA
Rfam family: Bacterial small subunit ribosomal RNA
Source: RNAcentral
AUGAACGCUGGCGGCGUGCCUAAUACAUGCAAGUCGAGCGAACGGACGAGAAGCUUGCUUUUCUGACGUUAGCGGCGGACGGGUGAGUAACACGUGGAUAACCUACCUAUAAGACUGGGAUAACUUCGGGAAACCGGAGCUAAUACCGGAUAAUAUUUUGAACCGCAUGGUUCAAAAGUGAAAGACGGUCUUGCUGUCACUUAUAGAUGGAUCCGCGCUGCAUUAGCUAGUUGGUAAGGUAACGGCUUACCAAGGCAACGAUGCAUAGCCGACCUGAGAGGGUGAUCGGCCACACUGGAACUGAGACACGGUCCAGACUCCUACGGGAGGCAGCAGUAGGGAAUCUUCCGCAAUGGGCGAAAGCCUGACGGAGCAACGCCGCGUGAGUGAUGAAGGUCUUCGGAUCGUAAAACUCUGUUAUUAGGGAAGAACAUAUGUGUAAGUAACUGUGCACAUCUUGACGGUACCUAAUCAGAAAGCCACGGCUAACUACGUG